This is a long non-coding RNA of Bos indicus x Bos taurus (hybrid cattle), 333 nucleotides long. NCBI's taxonomy places the organism in Eukaryota, Metazoa, Chordata, Mammalia, Artiodactyla, Bovidae. The record is from Ensembl.
AUGAACUGCCUCCUCUUCAUUCAUUUAUUUUACUCUGAGUACUUAGGUAACUUGCCCAAGUUCAAGGGGAUUUUUGUCAGAAGACUCAGAAGACUUCAUGCUCUCAUCUGGCCAAGUCUGGGCUCUCUCCAUCCCAGAAGAGGUAACGAGACAGUAGGAGGCAGAGUCACAGAAACUGGGGAAGGUAUGAGAGUAAAAGAACCUGAUUUACAGCCCACAGUCCUCAGGAAGGCCUCCCCCAUCUGUGUUACUGGUUGCCCACCUUGGUUCUGCCUGGACUCUAUCAGGGAUUACCACAUGGAAUACAACAGACGGGCAGGUUCAUUGCCCUGA